Molecule: ribosomal RNA, 465 nt
Filed under: Vreelandella stevensii
Lineage: Bacteria; Pseudomonadati; Pseudomonadota; Gammaproteobacteria; Oceanospirillales; Halomonadaceae
Description: partial 16S ribosomal RNA
Rfam family: Bacterial small subunit ribosomal RNA
Source: RNAcentral
CCUACGAGUGGCAGCAGUGGGGAAUAUUGGACAAUGGGGGGAACCCUGAUCCAGCCAUGCCGCGUGUGUGAAGAAGGCCCUCGGGUUGUAAAGCACUUUCAGUGAGGAAGAACGCCUGGUGGUUAAUACCCAUCAGGAAAGACAUCACUCACAGAAGAAGCACCGGCUAACUCCGUGCCAGCAGCCGCGGUAAUACGGAGGGUGCGAGCGUUAAUCGGAAUUACUGGGCGUAAAGCGCGCGUAGGUGGCUUGAUAAGCCGGUUGUGAAAGCCCCGGGCUCAACCUGGGAACGGCAUCCGGAACUGUCAAGCUAGAGUGCAGGAGAGGAAGGUAGAAUUCCCGGUGUAGCGGUGAAAUGCGUAGAGAUCGGGAGGAAUACCAGUGGCGAAGGCGGCCUUCUGGACUGACACUGACACUGAGGUGCGAAAGCGUGGGUAGCAAACAGGAUUAGAUACCCUAGUAGUC